This 466-nucleotide ribosomal RNA is filed under the name uncultured bacterium. RNAcentral's name for it is "partial 16S ribosomal RNA". It matches the Rfam family "Bacterial small subunit ribosomal RNA", at positions 28 to 507 of the family's 1533-position model. The record is from RNAcentral.
GACGAACGCUGGCGGUGUGCUUAACACAUGCAAGUCGAACGGUAAGGCCCUUUCGGGGGUACACGAGUGGCGAACGGGUGAGUAACACGUGAGUAACCUGCCCUCAUCUCUGGGAUAACAGUCGGAAACGGUUGCUAAUACUGGAUAUGAGCUUGCAAGGCAUCUUGUGGGCUGGAAAGAUUUUUUUGGUUGGGGAUGGACUCGCGGCCUAUCAGCUUGUUGGUGAGGUAGUGGCUCACCAAGGCUUCGACGGGUAGCCGGCCUGAGAGGGCGACCGGCCACAUUGGGACUGAGAUACGGCCCAAACUCCUACGGGAGGCAGCAGUGGGGAAUAUUGCACAAUGGACGGAAGUCUGAUGCAGCAACGCCGCGUGCGGGAUGACGGCCUUCGGGUUGUAAACCGCUUUCAAUUGUGACGAAGCUUUUUGUGACGGUAGCAGUAGAAGAAGCACCGGCUAACUACGUG